This 236-nucleotide unclassified non-coding RNA is filed under the name Hevea brasiliensis (rubber tree). The record is from RNAcentral. Lineage: Eukaryota; Viridiplantae; Streptophyta; Magnoliopsida; Malpighiales; Euphorbiaceae.
UCCCUUAAACAACUCUUCAUGUUUAGCGAAUGCUUCUGCAUAACUCCCAGUCUGUUCCCAGACUUGUGAUGGAUCCGCAUCAUAGAAAACUGGCACAACAACAAGUCCACCAGUUUUCCUUAAUUCCAUUAUCUUCACAAGUUCAUCGAGGCACCAUAUUGAAGAAGCAUAGUUUUUUGAGAACACAACUAUGCAUAUUUUUGACUGUCGCAUUGCUUUUUCGACUUCCACAACAA